GACGAACGCUGGCGGCGUGCUUAACACAUGCAAGUCGAACGGGAUUUAGUAAACGGAAGCCUCGGUGGAAGAUUACUAAUGAGAGUGGCGAACGGGUGAGUAACGCGUGAGCAACCUGCCUAUGACAGUGGGAUAGCCUCGGGAAACCGGGAUUAAUACCGCAUAAAAUCGUAGAAACACAUGUUUCAACGGUCAAGGAUUUAUCGGCCAUAGAUGGGCUCGCUUCUGAUUAGCUAGUUGGUGAGAUAACAGCCCACCAAGGCGACGAUCAGUAGCCGGUCUGAGAGGAUGAACGGCCACAUUGGAACUGAGACACGGUCCAAACUCCUACGGGAGGCAGCAGUGGGGAAUAUUGCACAAUGGGGGAAACCCUGAUGCAGCGACGCCGCGUGAACGAAGAAGGUAUUCGUAUCGUAAAGUUCUGUCCUAUGGGAAGAUAAUGACAGUACCAUAGAAGAAAGCUCCGGCUAAAUACGUG
This 478-nucleotide ribosomal RNA is filed under the name uncultured bacterium. RNAcentral's name for it is "partial 16S ribosomal RNA". It matches the Rfam family "Bacterial small subunit ribosomal RNA", at positions 28 to 507 of the family's 1533-position model. The record is from RNAcentral.